This 1297-nucleotide unclassified non-coding RNA is filed under the name Hevea brasiliensis (rubber tree). Lineage: Eukaryota; Viridiplantae; Streptophyta; Magnoliopsida; Malpighiales; Euphorbiaceae. The record is from RNAcentral.
UGCCACAAGCCAAGAUACCAUCUGCAUAGAGAAAAAGACGUUGAAAUAAUGCAAAUAAAUUAGAGAGACUAUCAAAGAAAGAUGAAUUUCUGGGCCUCAGCUUCACUUAACGAAAAUAAACAAAGAAUAAUCAAAAUGCCUAGAUAGAGUUGACAAUUCCAUUCAUUUGAGAUUUUACAGCUUAAACUUUAAUGUGAUUAUGGUUAUAUGGUUAUUCGUCCCAAUUAAAUUCCGUCUUUACAGGGCUCUUCCAAAGCACACAUGAAAGUACUUGCAAAGCUAUCAGGAAGAAAUGUUGUCAAAUUAGUUCAAUAGUGAUGUACUCACAACAUCAUUCAUGUCAAAGGCAUUGAUGAAGUAUAAAUCACUAGUUUGACUAGAGAAUAAUACUAACAAUCACCAGAGCCAGGACCGAGCAAAAGUUAUGCCGCAGACAGAUUUUCACAAAGACCAGUGAAAAGCUUUCAGAGGAAAUUUACAGUAGAUCACCAAAUCAUUGAACCAAAGGGCAGAAGGAAGAGAAUUUAAGUGUAAAGUAACACUUUAGUUUUAAAUAUUGUUCUAGAACAAGCAAAAGCCAUUCCACUUUCUAGAUUGCCUGAAGUUAAUGGUCACUAGUUUCAUGUUUUGCAUCUUAACAAAAUAGGAGUUCUGUUGAACUGGUUCCACCAUUGCCAUUGAUAAAUCCUAGAAGUAUGCAUGACAUAUUAUCAACAUUGAUAAAUCCUAAAAGUAUGUCAUCAUGACAUAUUAUCAACAAGAUACCAAGUUGGUCAGUGUUAAGAGUGCAAAAAAUAAUUGAUGCCAUGACCUAUCUGAAUCCAUUUGCUGCAUGGCAAAUAGGAUGUUGAAGAUAUCGUAUAUAAGUCAAUGAAACAAGAAGGAUGUCAAAUAGGAAACAAUCUGGCCACUAACACAAUUUGCAAACAAAGAGCUUAGUUUUUCUUCGAAUUUUUGUGAUUUAAUAAUUUACUCAAAUACCCAAAUCACAUCACAAAUUACAUCAAAUACCCAAAUCACAAGUAGAUUUUCCACAAGUAACCAUUUUAACAAGCAUACAAGUCAUACAGGACAAUAUUCCUGAUUCAAUAAUGGUAACAGAAUGUAGAUUUCACAACAAAGGUAUAUUACUACAUCUACACAUGCAGGAUUUUCUUUUGAAUUGCUUGGUUUCUAAAAAUUCUCAGACAACAUGGACAAUAAGUUGUUAGCUUCCCUAAAUACACAACUUCUGAAUUCACAAUAGAUUCAACUCUCAAAGAACUAGACAAUAUAUGGCUAUUAGAUCUUUAAAAAA